CUUUCUUAGAAUAAUUCUUUGGUGGUAAUGAUGCAUGAGCUACAGGAUGGCCAGUUGAAAAACACAAUGCAAAACCAGACUGUGUAAGGUAUAAGGGCAGAACUGAUUGGAUGUGAGACACAGUGGAUAAGAGGCAAGUGGCACUCAAUUCUGCCUUUUGAGGAGUAUCCUAAUUGUGACUUUGAGAAAAUAAGUUGUUAAAUGUCUAGAAGAGGGGGAAACACUAUAAAUAUCAAAGGUAAGAAUGAGAAAACUCAGAAAUACGGUGUACCACUGAUAGACUUCAGGCUAGAAUUUACCAGCAGAAAACAUUUCUUUUAAUCAGAAGACAACACUGGCUUCUGGGAUUCUGUUUUGCCAAUCACUUUGGGAUAGCUGCUGUAGUGUAUUAAUAAAUAGCAAAGAGAACAAGACACUGUAAGCCUGGAGAGGGUUCAGCAAAGGGCCACCAUGAGUGGCUCAGGUCUUGUCCAGCUUGGAAAGGACAAGGCUUUGGUGGGACUCUCAGCAGCCCCCAGUGCCUGCAGGGGGGUGAUGAGCAGGGACCAGGUCACAAUUCUAGAGUUAAAAGCAAGCUGAGUUUUCCUUUUGAAAAUCUGUUAAAAUAUGAUCAUUCGGUUUUCAUUAUAUUCUAAACCAGUCAGGGAAUCCAACUCCCACUUUCAAAAUGUCAUGUUAGGGCAUGAAUUAGCAAGUAGGGUAUUUUGAUUAGGGAUAAUAUCCAAGAAAAUUGUGUUAUUGGGAAAUAGACCCCUUGUGUCUAAAUAGAGGCACAAUGAAAAAAAAGAAAUAGAGCUUAUGUGCCUAAACAUUGUCAGUGAUGGUUCUUUAUUGAUUAAUCUAAAUGUAAAGGACAGGUUGCAAAAACCUAUUAGUAAGCUCCCUGGGAGUAUUUUCUUAUUAUAUUUUUUAUGUGGUUAUAUUGAUUUUUAUAUGGCUGAUUUGCCUCCAGAGACACCCUCAGAUUCACUUGCAGGGCUGGACUUGGCUGUAAAGUGUGGUCAACAUCGUGGCUCUUGGUGGAGUACAUGGUUCAGAUUGCAAAGCAGCUGUAUUACUUAAGGCUCUGUGCAUCAAAACUAAUCUAUGAGGAAAAAAUCCUUUUUUGAGAUUUCAGUCAAUGUGAUGAAAGAUGUUAGGUGGCAACUUUGCAGAAGCUGGGCACACAGAUACGUUUGAAAUUCUGGAGUAUUCACUGGAAGGUAGGACACAGUACACUGGGAGGUGCUCUGGGC
Long non-coding RNA from Oenanthe melanoleuca, 1235 nucleotides. RefSeq lists it as uncharacterized. The transcript has 3 exons. Lineage: Eukaryota; Metazoa; Chordata; Aves; Passeriformes; Muscicapidae. The record is from RefSeq and is a predicted model, not a curated record.